UUUUGCCUUCCAAGUGACAGCGACAGAGCUGAUGAACCUUUCUUCCAAAUGCUACCCUCCGCCAUUAAAAUUUGGUCCCUUGCUUUUUUUAGCCUCCAUACAGAAUGACCACAGUAUGACUCCAGCCCAAGAGAAGGAGAGAUUUGGCACGGAAACAGCAAAUUAAGCCAGCCAAGCUAAGGCGAGAUGAAAUGGGUCACACCAGAUAGAGUGUCAGCAGAAGAUAAGAGAGAAGGAAAACAGAUAAACAAGAAAUGGGGUGUUUAUUCCUAGUUCCUACCACAGCACAGAGGAGCACUGGACCUUGUUCGGAGCCCUGCUUUCAGGGGACAGAAGAACCCACUGCUCUCCAGCCUUUCUCCUAGGGGUGCAGAAAGUACAGAUGGAGAAAAGUGGUGCUGGGCUGGCAACGAAGAAUCCACACAAUGAGCCCUCAAUAAAUAGUACAUUUGCCCUGAAAAAUUCCUCUAAAAUUGUGAUGUCUCCUUUUCUUCUUAUUAUA
Long non-coding RNA from Peromyscus leucopus (white-footed mouse), 502 nucleotides. RefSeq lists it as uncharacterized. The record is from RefSeq and is a predicted model, not a curated record. The transcript has 3 exons. Lineage: Eukaryota; Metazoa; Chordata; Mammalia; Rodentia; Cricetidae.